AUGAUCUUAGGAGCACUGGCCGCCAUGGCCCAAACGAAAGUCAAAAGACCUCUAGCUCAUAGUUCGAUUGGACAUGUAGGUUAUAUUUGUACUGGUUUCUCAUGUGGAACCAUAGAAGGAAUUCAAUCACUACUAAUUGGUAUAUUUAUUUAUGCAUCAAUGACGAUAGAUGCAUUCGCCAUAGUUCCAGCAUUACGGCAAACCCGUGUCAAAUAUAUAGCGGAUUUGGGCGCUCUAGCCAAAACGAAUCCUAUUUCGGCUAUGACCUUCUCCAUUACAAUGUUCUCAUACGCAGGAAUACCCCCGUUAUCCGGCUUUUGUAGCAAAUUCUAUUUGUUCUUCGCCGCUUUGGGUUGUGGGGCUUACUUCCUAGCCCCAGUGGGAGUAGUGACUAGCCUUAUAGGUCGUUGGGCGGCCGGAAGGUUGCCAUGA
Molecule: ribosomal RNA, 432 nt
Filed under: Triticum aestivum (bread wheat)
Lineage: Eukaryota; Viridiplantae; Streptophyta; Magnoliopsida; Poales; Poaceae
Description: partial small subunit ribosomal RNA
Source: RNAcentral